UCGCAUAUACAUCAGCAACCAGAAACUCAAAACCCUAGGUAAACUCUCAUUUCUUGACCUACACUCAACAGGGGAGUGAAAACCAAGAUUAUAUGGAAAUGAGAAAAUUUGGAAUUGAAGAUGCUACGAAACUUAUCUCGAUAAGUGAUCUCAAUUCUUUGCUCAACAAAUCAGUCGAAGACAUGCUCACUGAACUCACUCUUAGAAGCUUGAAAGCUAAAGCAAGAAAAUUU
This 233-nucleotide long non-coding RNA is filed under the name Carica papaya (papaya). RNAcentral describes it as "long non-coding RNA (CPAP_LNC007206)". The record is from RNAcentral. Lineage: Eukaryota; Viridiplantae; Streptophyta; Magnoliopsida; Brassicales; Caricaceae.